Long non-coding RNA from Dendroctonus ponderosae (mountain pine beetle), 286 nucleotides. RefSeq lists it as uncharacterized. NCBI's taxonomy places the organism in Eukaryota, Metazoa, Arthropoda, Insecta, Coleoptera, Curculionidae. The transcript has 2 exons. The record is from RefSeq and is a predicted model, not a curated record.
UACAAAUGCAUAUUUAACAACAAACAUCACAAUCUUUCAAUUAUUCUUCAAUUAUUUUUCUAAUUCCGACGAUUUAGAAACGGUCUGCAAGGCGGUUGAAAUAGCUAAAAAUUUACAAAACACAACAGCAUUUCAACGCUUGGGAAUCGAGCCGAUCAUUUUAGAUCUUCCAGACUGUGAUGCGGAUUAUGAGAAACUUUCAAAGGACUGGUGGAUCUGCAGCAUUCAAUACCUUUCAAUUAUCGGUUUUCAUCCAGUAGGAGCUACUAGAAUGGGAAAYGAUACG